CAGUAGCCGCGGUAAUACCAGCAGCCCAAGUGGUGGUCGCGAUUAUUGGGCCUAAAGCGCUCGUAGCCGGGCCGGUAAGUCCCUUGUGAAAUCGGACGGCCUAACCGUUCGGCGUGCAAGGGAUACUGUCGGUCUUGAGGCCGGGAGACGUCCGAGGUACUCCGGGGGUAGCGGUGAAAUGUUCUGAUCCUCGGGGGACCACCGGUGGCGAAGGCGUUCGACGAGAACGGGCCUGACGGUGAGGGGCGAAGGCUAGGGGAGCAAACGGGAUUAGAUACCCCUGUAGUCCCUGUCUCUUAUU
RNAcentral lists this ribosomal RNA (301 nucleotides) under uncultured bacterium. RNAcentral describes it as "partial 16S ribosomal RNA". It matches the Rfam family "Archaeal small subunit ribosomal RNA", at positions 459 to 759 of the family's 1478-position model. The record is from RNAcentral.